This 100-nucleotide ribosomal RNA is filed under the name Paramormyrops kingsleyae. The record is from RNAcentral. Lineage: Eukaryota; Metazoa; Chordata; Actinopteri; Osteoglossiformes; Mormyridae.
CCUGCAGUUCAGACUAGAUAAUCUCCCUGAAGUUCAGCAGGUUUGGGUCUGGCCAGUACCUGGAUGGGAGACCAGCUAGGAAAGCUGGGUUGCUGCUGGA